UACCAGGUCUUGACAUCCUUUGACCACUCUGGAGACAGAGCUUUCCCUUCGGGGACAAAGUGACAGCUGGUGCAUGGUUGUCGUCAGCUCGUGUCGUGAGAUGUUGGGUUAAGUCCCGCAACGAGCGCAACCCUUGAUUUUCGUUGCCAGCAUUUAGGUGGGCACUCUACAGUGACUUCCGGUGCAAGCCGGAGGAAGGUGGUGAUGACGUCAAAUCAUCAUGCCCCUUAUGACCUGGGC
This 240-nucleotide ribosomal RNA is filed under the name Listeria monocytogenes. RNAcentral's name for it is "partial 16S ribosomal RNA". It matches the Rfam family "Bacterial small subunit ribosomal RNA", at positions 972 to 1214 of the family's 1533-position model. The record is from RNAcentral. Lineage: Bacteria; Bacillati; Bacillota; Bacilli; Caryophanales; Listeriaceae.